UUUUAAAUAAAAACCCUAAAUCUGAAGUCAUUUUUAUCUUCUUCUUCAGCCUCGUGCGCUGCUUGGAACACCAACAUCACCUCCGAUUCACACACUCUGCAUCAACAUGGCGGAACACCGUCUGCACCACCACCCAAAACAGUAGAGAAGAGGAAAAAAUGGUCAUCAAACACUCUAUUCCAACUCCGUACGAAUCCGACGAUUGUCAGAAGAAGCUAUAAUCCAUUAUCGUUCUUCAUGAGAUCCACCGUCUAGCGCCUUGGUCCGAUCAUUAUAAACAAGUCCUUCCGAUCAAAGAUGAUGGAAAGGGGUUCCUCAACCAAGGGCAACAAGUCUUCUGAAUCAAAGGUGAUUUAUGAUAAGACUAUCGGGAGAAGUAGGGGAUUUGGUUUUGUAACUAUGACUUCUGCUGCUGAAGUUGAAACUGCCGCUCAGCAGUUCAGUUGUUAUCUAGUGGAUGGAAGAUAAGUGAGAGUGAAUUUUGGACCAGCUCCACCUCCUCGUGAGGAUUCUCGUUAUGGUGACAAUCCUCGUUUUGGUGGUGAAAAUUCUUGUUUUGGUGAUAGUUCCGGUUUUAGGGGUCCUCCAAGAGGUGGUUCAGAUAGCAAACACCGUGUUAGCUUUAUAUCUGUCAUUGUCUCGGUCAGUAUUGCUGACCGAUUUGGUAGAAGAUUCUUGUUCAUAACGGGAGGUAUUGUUAUGUUUAUGUGCUUGGUAAGUGAAUUACUAAAACAUGUCUAUAUUUGAAUUAAAAGAUAUAUUUCUUAUAUAUUAAGUAAUUUAUAUGAACAAUGUGCAGAUUGCGGUGUUCAUUGUGUUGGCAGUGGUGACUGGUGUUCAUUGUAACACCCUUCUAAACCCCGCGGCAAUUUUUAAAACAAUUAUAUCAGAGUAAAACAUAAAACACAAGGGUGCCAGAAUUAUAUAAAAUAAAUAAACCAAUCAUGGUCAAGUCAUGCUUCAUUAGGAAACGGUUCACCAAAUUGUAAUUAUGUUUAUCACAGCGGAAUA
This is a long non-coding RNA of Vicia villosa (hairy vetch), 1011 nucleotides long. RefSeq lists it as uncharacterized. NCBI's taxonomy places the organism in Eukaryota, Viridiplantae, Streptophyta, Magnoliopsida, Fabales, Fabaceae. The transcript is spliced from 3 exons. The record is from RefSeq and is a predicted model, not a curated record.